Molecule: ribosomal RNA, 479 nt
Filed under: Escherichia coli
Lineage: Bacteria; Pseudomonadati; Pseudomonadota; Gammaproteobacteria; Enterobacterales; Enterobacteriaceae
Also listed under: 5 other names
Description: partial 23S ribosomal RNA
Rfam family: Bacterial large subunit ribosomal RNA
Source: RNAcentral
UGGUGGGUAGUUUGACUGGGGCGGUCUCCUCCUAAAGAGUAACGGAGGAGCACGAAGGUUGGCUAAUCCUGGUCGGACAUCAGGAGGUUAGUGCAAUGGCAUAAGCCAGCUUGACUGCGAGCGUGACGGCGCGAGCAGGUGCGAAAGCAGGUCAUAGUGAUCCGGUGGUUCUGAAUGGAAGGGCCAUCGCUCAACGGAUAAAAGGUACUCCGGGGAUAACAGGCUGAUACCGCCCAAGAGUUCAUAUCGACGGCGGUGUUUGGCACCUCGAUGUCGGCUCAUCACAUCCUGGGGCUGAAGUAGGUCCCAAGGGUAUGGCUGUUCGCCAUUUAAAGUGGUACGCGAGCUGGGUUUAGAACGUCGUGAGACAGUUCGGUCCCUAUCUGCCGUGGGCGCUGGAGAACUGAGGGGGGCUGCUCCUAGUACGAGAGGACCGGAGUGGACGCAUCACUGGUGUUCGGGUUGUCAUGCCAAUGGCA